This 550-nucleotide ribosomal RNA is filed under the name uncultured fungus. Its description in RNAcentral is "eukaryotic LSU rRNA". It matches the Rfam family "Eukaryotic large subunit ribosomal RNA", at positions 71 to 647 of the family's 3401-position model. Lineage: Eukaryota; Fungi. The record is from RNAcentral.
GGGAUUGCCCUAGUAACGGCGAGUGAGGCGGCAACAGCUCAAAUUUGAAAUCUGGCCCUUGGGUCCGAAUUGUAAUUUGCAGAGGAUGCUUUUGGUGCGGUGCCUUCCGAGUUCCCUGGAACGGGACGCCAUAGAGGGUGAGAGCCCCGUCCGGUUGGAUACCUAGCCUCUGUAAAGCUCCUUCGACGAGUCGAGUAGUUUGGGAAUGCUGCUCUAAAUGGGAGGUAUAUGUCUUCUAAAGCUAAAUACCGGCCAGAGACCGAUAGCGCACAAGUAGAGUGAUCGAAAGAUGAAAAGCACUUUGAAAAGAGGGUUAAACAGUACGUGAAAUUGUUAAAAGGGAAGCAUUUGUGACCAGACUUGGGCUCGGUUAAUCAUCCAGCGUUCUCGCUGGUGCACUUUGCCGGCCCAGGCCAGCAUCAGUUCGCCGCGGGGGAUAAAGGUUUCGGGAACGUGGCUCCUCCGGGAGUGUUAUAGCCCGUUGCGUAAUACCCUGUAGUGGACUGAGGUUCGCGCUCUGCAAGGAUGCUGGCGUAAUGGUCAUCAAUGA